RNAcentral lists this transfer RNA (75 nucleotides) under Hydrosaurus amboinensis (sailfin lizard). RNAcentral describes it as "tRNA-Leu specifying UUR codons". Lineage: Eukaryota; Metazoa; Chordata; Lepidosauria; Squamata; Agamidae. The record is from RNAcentral.
AUUGAUGUGGCAGAGUCAGGAUAAUGCGAGCGGCCUAAAACCGCUUACCCAGACGUUCAAAUCGUCUCACCAAAA